AGGGAAGGCGGGGGGCAGGCCUAACACAUGCAAGUCGAGCGGAUGAAGGGAGCUUGCUCCUGGAUUCAGCGGCGGACGGGUGAGUAAUGCCUAGGAAUCUGCCUGGUAGUGGGGGAUAACGUCCGGAAACGGGCGCUAAUACCGCAUACGUCCUGAGGGAGAAAGUGGGGGAUCUUCGGACCUCACGCUAUCAGAUGAGCCUAGGUCGGAUUAGCUAGUUGGUGGGGUAAAGGCCUACCAAGGCGACGAUCCGUAACUGGUCUGAGAGGAUGAUCAGUCACGCUGGAACUGAGACACGGUCCAGACUCCUACGGGAGGCAGCAGUGGGGAAUAUUGGACAAUGGGCGAAAGCCUGAUCCAGCCAUGCCGCGUGUGUGAAGAAGGUCUUCGGAUUGUAAAGCACUUUAAGUUGGGAGGAAGGGCAGUAAGUUAAUACCUUGCUGUUUUGACGUUACCAACAGAAUAAGCACCGGCUAACUUCGUG
Molecule: ribosomal RNA, 484 nt
Filed under: uncultured bacterium
Lineage: Bacteria
Description: partial 16S ribosomal RNA
Rfam family: Bacterial small subunit ribosomal RNA
Source: RNAcentral